AAACACCUGCAAAAAGAAAAGCGCUGCAAAAAGAAAAAAUGCUGCAAAAAGAAAAACGCUGCAAAAGCACACAAAGCACAACGCAAAUAGGAAAAGACACAACGGAAAUAGGAAAAGACACAACGGAAACAGGAAACGACACAACGGAAAUGUUCCUGGGGAGACAAUAAACCGACGGACCAGUUGCACGAACCAAAACAUGCUAGCCAGUGCGCUGGGACUGCGAGACACUUCAAAGAAGUGGAGGAGAGGCAAUGUAUUGUCCAUAUUGUGGAAUCCAGCUAGUGGGGCAAAUUGGAGUUUUUUGUGGGUCCUGUGGAACUAACAUUCAAGUUUUAGCACCUUUUAUAGAGAAUGGCCCAGUCUCAGUCA
Long non-coding RNA from Oreochromis niloticus (Nile tilapia), 372 nucleotides. RefSeq lists it as uncharacterized. The record is from RefSeq and is a predicted model, not a curated record. The transcript is spliced from 3 exons. Lineage: Eukaryota; Metazoa; Chordata; Actinopteri; Cichliformes; Cichlidae.